RNAcentral lists this ribosomal RNA (429 nucleotides) under Gemmatimonadota bacterium. RNAcentral describes it as "Gemmatimonadetes bacterium partial 16S ribosomal RNA". It matches the Rfam family "Bacterial small subunit ribosomal RNA", at positions 355 to 776 of the family's 1533-position model. Lineage: Bacteria; Pseudomonadati; Gemmatimonadota. The record is from RNAcentral.
UAGGGAAUCUUCGGCAAUGGACGAAAGUCUGACCGAGCAACGCCGCGUGAGUGAAGAAGGUUUUCGGAUCGUAAAACUCUGUUGUUAGAGAAGAACAAGGACGUUAGUAACUGAACGUCCCCUGACGGUAUCUAACCAGAAAGCCACGGCUAACUACGUGCCAGCAGCCGCGGUAAUACGUAGGUGGCAAGCGUUGUCCGGAUUUAUUGGGCGUAAAGCGAGCGCAGGCGGUUUCUUAAGUCUGAUGUGAAAGCCCCCGGCUCAACCGGGGAGGGUCAUUGGAAACUGGGAGACUUGAGUUCAGAAGAGGAGAGUGUAAUUCCAUGUGUAGCGGUGAAAUGCGUAGAUAUAUUGAGGAACACCAGUGGCGAAGGCGGCUCUCUGGUCUGUAACUGACGCUAAGGCUCGAAAGCGUGGGGAGCAAACAGG